UUGGUCAAGCUACUAAGGGUGCACGGUGGAUGCCUUGGCGCAGAGAGGCGAUGAAGGACGUGGUAAGCUGCGAUAAGCUUCGGGGAGCCGCAAGCUGGCUUUGAUCCGGAGAUCUCGAACGGGGCAACCCGGCAGGGGUCAUACCCUGUCAUCCUGGGGCGAACACAUAGCUCCAGCGAAGCCGACCGGGGGAAGUGAACCAUCUCAGUACCCCGAGGAACAGAAAGCAAAAGCGAUUCCGUUAGUAGCGGCGAGCGAAAGCGGACCAGCCCAAACUCUUGAGGUGUCAAGCCCGCAAGCGUUGCCUUGAGAGGGUUGUGGGGCGUUGCUCGGUGUGGUUGCGGCCACGCCGGGGAGUUACAAAUCAUCAGGCUAGUUGAAGCUCUCUGGAAAGAGACGCCAAAGACGGUGACAGCCCGGUAAGCGAAAGUCUGAUGGCUCCCUUGAAACGAUCCCGAGUACUACGGGGCACGUGGAACCCCGUAGGAAGCUGGGUGGACCAUCACCCAAGGCUAAAUACUCCUCUGCGACCGAUAGUGAACCAGUACCGUGAGGGAAAGGUGAAAAGCACCCCUGUGAGGGGAGUGAAAUAGUACCUGAAACCGUGCAUCUACAAGCAGUGGAAGCGCUAUGGUACGUCCAGCGCAACUGCGUGCCUUUUGCAUAAUGAGCCGGCUAGUUACUGUCGCUGGCAAGGCGAAGCCAAGUGCAUAGCCGAAGCGAAAGCGAGUCUGAAUAGGGCGAUUCAGUCAGUGGCAGUAGACGCGAAGCGAGGUGAUCUAUCCAUAGCCAGGGUGAAGCUGAGGUAACACUCAGUGGAGGCCCGAACCAGUGUUGGUUGAAAACAACUUGGAUGAGCCGUGGAUAGGGGUGAAAGGCUAAUCAAACCUCGUUAUAGCUCGUUCUCCUCGAAAUAGCUUUAGGGCUAGCCUCGUGAGUUGCAUCACGGAGGUAGAGCACUGGAUGGACUAGGGGGCCCUACAGUCUACCGAAUCCAACCAAACUCCGAAUGCCGUAGAUGUCCAUCACGGGAGUCAGACUACGGGGGAUAAGCUCCGUGGUCGAGAGGGAAAGAACCCAGACCGCCAGCCAAGGUCCCUAAGUGUCAGCUAAGUGGAAAAGGUUGUGGAGACGCACCGACAGCCAGGAGGUUGGCUUAGAAGCAGCCACCCUUUAAAGAAAGCGUAAUAGCUCACUGGUCAAGUGGCUCUGUGCCGAUAAUUCAACGGGGCUCAAGCUGAUCACCGAAGCUGCGGAUUCCCGCAAGGGAAUGGUAGAGGAGCAUUCCGUAGGCGACGAAGUCGGACCGUAAGGAUCGGUGGAGCGUACGGAAGAGACCAUGCCGGCACAAGUAGCGAAAAAGCAGGUGAGAACCCUGCUCGCCGAAAGUCUAAGGUUUCCUGAGGAAGGUCAAUCCGCUCAGGGUUAGUCGGCCCCUAAGGCGAGGCCGAAAGGCGUAGUCGAUGGAAAACAGGUUAAUAGUCCUGUACCGCUGCGACCUCGUUUGUACGACGGGGUGACGCGGAAGGAUAGCCCGGCCACCGAUCGGAAGUGGUGGUUCAAGCGUGUAGAGGGGGGCGAUAGGUAAAUCCGUUGCCCCAUCCAACCUCGAGGCGUGAUGUCAAGGCCCUCGGGCCACAAAGCGGGUAACUCCAUGCCGCCAAGAAAAACCUCUAAGGAGAGGUUGUGGCGACCGUACCGUAAACCGACACAGGUAGACGGGGAGAGAAUCCCAAGGCGCUUGAGUGAUCUCUUGUGAAGGAACUCGGCAAAUUGACACCGUAACUUCGGGAGAAGGUGUGCCGCCGCAUGUGUAAGAGUUCGCCUCUGAAGCACGUGGCGGUCGCAGUGAAAAGGCCCAGGCGACUGUUUACUAAAAACACAGGACUCUGCAAAGUCGAAAACGACGUAUAGGGUCUGACGCCUGCCCGGUGCCGGAAGGUUAAGAGGAGGGGUUAGCCCUCGGGCGAAGCUCUGAAUCGAAGCCCCGGUAAACGGCGGCCGUAACUAUAACGGUCCUAAGGUAGCGAAAUUCCUUGUCGGGUAAGUUCCGACCUGCACGAAUGGCGUAACGAUCUGGGCACUGUCUCCACAAGAGGCUCAGCGAAUCUGUAGCACCGGUGAAGAUGCCGGUUACCCGCAUGUAGACGGAAAGACCCCGUGAACCUUUACUGCACCCUGGCAGUGAUCUUCGGUGCGUUAUGUGUAGGAUAGGUGGGAGGCAUUGAAGUCGGGCCGCUAGGCUCGAUGGAGCCACUGGUGAAAUACCACCCUUAUCGUACUGAGGAUCUAACCCAGACCCGUUAUCCGGGUCGGGGACAUUGCCAGGCGGGUAGUUUGACUGGGGCGGUCGCCUCCUAAAGCGUAACGGAGGCGCGCGAAGGUUCCCUCAGGCUGAUUGGAAACCAGCCGUAGAGUGCAAAGGCAGAAGGGAGCUUGACUGCGAGACCUACAAGUCGAGCAGGUACGAAAGUAGGCCUUAGUGAUCCGGUGGUUCUGUAUGGAAGGGCCAUCGCUCAACGGAUAAAAGGUACUCCGGGGAUAACAGGCUGAUCUCCCCCAAGAGUUCACAUCGACGGGGAGGUUUGGCACCUCGAUGUCGGCUCAUCGCAUCCUGGGGCUGGAGCAGGUCCCAAGGGUUCGGCUGUUCGCCGAUUAAAGCGGUACGUGAGCUGGGUUUAGAACGUCGUGAGACAGUUCGGUCCCUAUCUCAUGUGGGCGCAGGACACUUGAAGGGAGCCGUCCUUAGUACGAGAGGACCGGGAUGGACGAACCUCUGGUGCAUCAGUUGUCGCGCCAGCGGCACAGCUGAGUAGCUAUGUUCGGAAAGGAUAACUGCUGAAAGCAUCUAAGCAGGAAGCCCCCCCUGAGAUUAGGUGUCCCCGAAGGCCACUGGAAGAUGACCAGUUUGAUAGGCGGGAAGUGUAAGUGCCGUGAGGCUUUGAGCUUACCCGUACUAAUCGGCCGUUCGGCUUGACCAU
RNAcentral lists this ribosomal RNA (2981 nucleotides) under Thermoanaerobaculia bacterium. RNAcentral's name for it is "23S ribosomal RNA". It matches the Rfam family "Bacterial large subunit ribosomal RNA". The record is from RNAcentral. Lineage: Bacteria; Pseudomonadati; Acidobacteriota; Thermoanaerobaculia.